Molecule: ribosomal RNA, 496 nt
Filed under: uncultured bacterium
Lineage: Bacteria
Description: partial 16S ribosomal RNA
Rfam family: Bacterial small subunit ribosomal RNA
Source: RNAcentral
AUGAACGCUGGCGGCGUGCCUAAUACAUGCAAGUCGAGCGAACAGACGGGGAGCUUGCUCCUCUGACGUUAGCGGCGGACGGGUGAGUAACACGUGGAUAACCUACCUAUAAGACUGGGAUAACUUCGGGAAACCGGAGCUAAUACCGGAUAAUAUAUUGAACCGCAUGGUUCAAUAGUGAAAGACGGUUUUGCUGUCACUUAUAGAUGGAUCCGCGCCGCAUUAGCUAGUUGGUAAGGUAACGGCUUACCAAGGCAACGAUGCGUAGCCGACCUGAGAGGGUGAUCGGCCACACUGGAACUGAGACACGGUCCAGACUCCUACGGGAGGCAGCAGUAGGGAAUCUUCCGCAAAGGGCGAAAGCCUGACGGAGCAACGCCGCGUGAGUGAUGAAGGUCUUCGGAUCGUAAAACUCUGUUAUUAGGGAAGAACAAAUGUGUAAGUAACUAUGCACGUCUUGACGGUACCUAAUCAGAAAGCCACGGCUAACUACGUG